UCCCAUGUAGCUCAAUUGGUCAGAGCGUGCGGCUGUUAACCGCAAGGUUGUGUGUUCGAUUCACACCGUGGGAGC
RNAcentral lists this transfer RNA (75 nucleotides) under Emiliania huxleyi virus 145. Its description in RNAcentral is "tRNA-Asn". It matches the Rfam family "tRNA". Rfam says of the family: Transfer RNA (tRNA) molecules are approximately 80 nucleotides in length. Lineage: Varidnaviria; Bamfordvirae; Nucleocytoviricota; Megaviricetes; Algavirales; Phycodnaviridae. RNAcentral also lists the same sequence under 1 other name. The record is from RNAcentral.